RNAcentral lists this long non-coding RNA (1066 nucleotides) under Marmota monax (woodchuck). The record is from RNAcentral. Lineage: Eukaryota; Metazoa; Chordata; Mammalia; Rodentia; Sciuridae.
GAAGGAUUAAGCCUAUUAAAGAUGGGUGUUCAGGAACUGAAAUGCAAGACACUAGGGGCAGAGAACUUCUUAGAAGGUUGUGACAGUCACAACUAUGAGAAUACAGAGACAAAUGGGGAGCAGGUGAAGGUAAACCUAUCUGCUUUGGUAACUGACCAGAGGAAAGCACCUGUGGUAGGAAAAGGAGAAGACAAUGGCCAGGGUGUUACUACCUGGGAGACUGGCAGAACCAUAGAAAUACACUAGAAACCUAGAGAGGAGCUUGUUUUGGAUAGGCAGAGAUGUGGUGUGAAUUUCAGCAGGGUCUUUAAAUUUGUGACUGAAGCCAGGAGGAUAUAUAGCCAAUACCCCAAACUGUAUUUGAAACCUUUUAAGUUUAACCUCUAAAACAGUUUGAGGUAUUGGCUAGUGAACAUAGUUGAGUUCUCUAAGUAGACAGACUAGAAGUGUAUUAUCUUUGAGUAUAUUUACCUAAUUAAUGAGCCAAACAAUUAAACCAGUUCUUCUGUCCUGACCCAGGAGGAGGGAAUGCUAUUCAAAAUGAGACCUAUUAGAAGUAAGAGCCUGGAUGCCCUGCAUCCCUCACCUCCCUGUAGGCAUCAGUUUAUAUCUACUUCACGUCUCUUAUCCUCUGUGGUAUAGAAUUUUCUACAGUCUUAUCUCAAACCUGAAUUUGUCCUAUGGAUUGGACAAAGAUGCUUUACAGAGAGAAAUGCUAUGCAUGCUCAGCAGAGACCCUCUACUUAAAGAUGUGUGGCCUUUCUGAGAAAGAAGAAAACUAAUCUCCUUAAUUGUCAUAACAGAAUAUUCUAUUUGUUUCUCAAAUAGAUGUUUAUUUCCCUUCAACCAAUGCAGCAGUUACUUUAAACAACAGGGCAGAACCCUCUAUCUUAUGACUUCAACUGGUGUUUUGCAAAGGGAAACCAAUAAAAUGUCUAGUUGCCAGGUGUGAUGGUGCAUUUAUAAUACCAAGGUUAAGGCCAACCUUAGCAAUUUAGUGAGACCCUAUCUCAAAAUAAAAAAGGGUUGGUGGUAGAGCAUCCCUGUCCAGUUUCCAGUACAGUAC